Molecule: transfer RNA, 57 nt
Filed under: Bos taurus (domestic cattle)
Lineage: Eukaryota; Metazoa; Chordata; Mammalia; Artiodactyla; Bovidae
Also listed under: 5 other names
Rfam family: tRNA
About the family: Transfer RNA (tRNA) molecules are approximately 80 nucleotides in length.
Source: Rfam by way of RNAcentral
AGUCCAAUGGUUAGGACUCUGCACUUCCAUUGCAGGGGGCUCAGGUUCAAUCCCUGG